GAAAGAUGAAAAGAAUUUUGAAAAGAAAGUCAAACAGUACGUGAAAUUGUUGAAAGGGAAACGAUUGAAGCCAGUCGUACCGACGGGAAUUCAACUUCUCGAGUGCUAAUCGUGGGUGACGUUGAGCCUCACGGCCUUCGUUGCUUGUGUUGUUGGUGCUUUUGGGGUGUACUUUUCCGUAUUGGUAGGUCAGCAUCGAUUUCGAUCGCCAUAAAAUGAUCGGGGGAAUGUAGCUUCGGUCUCGUAUCGGAGUGUUAUA
This 259-nucleotide ribosomal RNA is filed under the name uncultured Glomeraceae. RNAcentral's name for it is "partial large subunit ribosomal RNA". It matches the Rfam family "Eukaryotic large subunit ribosomal RNA", at positions 359 to 594 of the family's 3401-position model. The record is from RNAcentral. Lineage: Eukaryota; Fungi; Glomeromycota; Glomeromycetes; Glomerales; Glomeraceae.